CAAGGGAGGGUAUUAUUUUUAGGGUGGGGGAAACUUGGGCUUGUUUAGAUGCUGAUUAAAGCAAUCAGUAGCAAGUGUGACAACAGGAGAGAGAAGAGACCUACAACAGAGCAAAGUCAAUCAGACUGUAAGAGAAAUAGAGCCUUAGAACUGACCUUGGCAAUGAGCAAUCUCUUUAAUUAUGAUGGAGAGGAAAGGAGGAGGAAAUGGGCAUCUCUGCAGGUAGAGUUUAACUCCCAGACACCAACUGUAGUCCCAGGAGACACUUAGCCAAGCUCCAGUGAGCAGGUGAGCCCCACUUCAGAAGUUUGGCGAAGUUCAACAGCACCAUGAAAGGACUUUGAAUGGAAUUGGCCAGAUUUCCCCAACACGUCAAUAACCGUUGAAAGGG
Long non-coding RNA from Hipposideros armiger (great roundleaf bat), 391 nucleotides. RefSeq lists it as uncharacterized. NCBI's taxonomy places the organism in Eukaryota, Metazoa, Chordata, Mammalia, Chiroptera, Hipposideridae. The transcript has 3 exons. The record is from RefSeq and is a predicted model, not a curated record.